GACGGAGGGUGCGAGCGUUAAUCGGAAUUACUGGGCGUAAAGAGCUCGUAGGCGGCUUGGCAAGUCAGAUGUGAAACCCUCAGGCUUAACCUGGGGCCGCCAUCUGAUACUGCUAUGGCUAGAGUCCGGUAGGGGAUCGUGGAAUUCCUGGAGUAGCGGUGAAAUGCACAGAUCUCAGGAGGAACACCAGUGGCGAAGGCGGCGAUCUGGGCCGGUACUGACGCUGAGGAGCGAAAGCGUGGGGAGCAAACAGG
RNAcentral lists this ribosomal RNA (254 nucleotides) under uncultured bacterium. RNAcentral describes it as "partial 16S ribosomal RNA". It matches the Rfam family "Bacterial small subunit ribosomal RNA", at positions 524 to 776 of the family's 1533-position model. The record is from RNAcentral.